RNAcentral lists this ribosomal RNA (253 nucleotides) under uncultured bacterium. Its description in RNAcentral is "partial 16S ribosomal RNA". It matches the Rfam family "Bacterial small subunit ribosomal RNA", at positions 524 to 776 of the family's 1533-position model. The record is from RNAcentral.
UACGUAGGGGGCAAGCGUUGUCCGGAAUCAUUGGGCGUAAAGAGCGUGUAGGCGGUCCGGUAAGUCCGCUGUAAAAGUCAAAGGCUCAACCUUUGAAUGUCAGUGGAUACUGCCGGGCUAGAGUCCGGAAGAGGCGAGUGGAAUUCCUGGUGUAGCGGUGGAAUGCGCAGAUAUCAGGAGGAACACCAAUAGCGAAGGCAGCUCGCUGGGACGUUACUGACACUGAGGCGCGAAAGCGUGGGGAGCGAACAGG